CUGACCACUGGUUAGUUCUAGAUUCUAUUGAUAUACAUUUCAGUAGUUUGCAUAUAUAUGUAAAGAGGUACACCUUGAUAAUCUUUGAACCAUACAUGAUAGCACCAUGGGGCUUGGACUUUUGUCAAUCUAUUUGAAUCUAAAGUGGAAGCAAAAUGAUUUCCUGAAGCAUAUCCUCAUUAUUUAUGAAAUGGUAAAAUGUAAGCUAAUAAGGUGACAUGGUAACACAGACUGCGCGCACAGCGCGCAAUUUUUUUUUUGGAGCACCGAAGACCCAUUUUGACCCAGGAAAAACCCUGCUUUUGUAGUUUUUGGUUUGUUUGUUUGCUUUUGUAUUUGUUUGUUUGACCUAGCCUAAACCUAGGUGUAAGCUAGGUUUAGCGUGCUGCUUUCUAUUUCUUUCAUUAUUGUCCCCUCUCCUCCCUGCGGUGCUAGAGCGAUAGGUGUGGUACUGGCUGCCCCAGUGUUCUUCCCUAGUUGGAGUAAGCCUUUUCCAAAGCUUGAACUCUGCCUGGUUUUAACAGUUAGGCUUAACCCAAACUCCUCUUCCCCUUUCCUCUCCAGAACAACAGUGUUGCAGCUGUCUGCGGGGCAGGUCGCCAGAUCUGAGUCUUCCUCUUCACGCAUGCCGAACUGAUUGUAUUGAGUGAUUUGUGCCGAGUUUCACAGAAUAACAAACAUCAACCUGAAGAACCACUUCUAUGCCGAGUUGGAUCAACAUGUCCCCCGUCUUCAGAGCUUGUUCAGGAAGUAAGCUGCAAACACAGGGAGAGUAGCCGAAGUUCUGGAUCAGCUCUUCAGCACUUAUGACCGCCAGCAUCCCAAAUCAAGCAAGAAUAAGUUGAUGUCCUCCGUGGUCUUCCUGCAUAUCUGCAUGACGAUGACUCCAGGUUUCUUAAGCUGUGGGAUGUGGCGCAGUCUGAUGAACCAAACAUCAAUGACAUAUCGGUUGGGCUCCUCCUGAUCACAGGCAAUUAAACAGAUGCCACGUUCUUCUGCCCAGAGAGGAUUGCUGUUGUGCUUGAGGGCAACAUAGUUGUCGAAUUCUCCACAUUGGCUGAAGCCUUUGUCAUGCUUUUUGCACUGAUGUACGCUCUGCAUUUGAGUUACCCAAAAGACUUGGCGAAUACCUUUGACUUUACCCAGAAAGUCUUGAUGGGCUUGGAGGAUGGGAAACUGAAGCCCAGGGUGUUGAGCCUUAAAAAUGAACUUUUGGCAGUGGAGUAAUCUCACUCUGAACAGAAGUUGCUCCUUAACUUUUCGUAUGCAC
This is a long non-coding RNA of Clupea harengus (Atlantic herring), 1270 nucleotides long. NCBI's taxonomy places the organism in Eukaryota, Metazoa, Chordata, Actinopteri, Clupeiformes, Clupeidae. The record is from Ensembl.